Molecule: transfer RNA, 73 nt
Filed under: Stegodyphus mimosarum
Lineage: Eukaryota; Metazoa; Arthropoda; Arachnida; Araneae; Eresidae
Rfam family: tRNA
About the family: Transfer RNA (tRNA) molecules are approximately 80 nucleotides in length. Their secondary structure includes four short double-helical elements and three loops (D, anti-codon, and T loops). Further hydrogen bonds mediate the characteristic L-shaped molecular structure. tRNAs have two regions of fundamental functional importance: the anti-codon, which is responsible for specific mRNA codon recognition, and the 3' end, to which the tRNAs corresponding amino acid is attached (by aminoacyl-tRNA synthetases). tRNAs cope with the degeneracy of the genetic code in two manners: having more than one tRNA (with a specific anti-codon) for a particular amino acid; and 'wobble' base-pairing, i.e. permitting non-standard base-pairing at the 3rd anti-codon position.
Source: Rfam by way of RNAcentral
GCCUUCGUGGUGUAGUGGCAAGCACGCUCGAUACAUAACCGAGAGGUCCGUGGUUCGAUUCCUGGCGAAGGCG